This 253-nucleotide ribosomal RNA is filed under the name uncultured bacterium. RNAcentral describes it as "partial 16S ribosomal RNA". It matches the Rfam family "Bacterial small subunit ribosomal RNA", at positions 524 to 776 of the family's 1533-position model. The record is from RNAcentral.
UACGUAGGGUGCAAGCGUUGUCCGGAAUCAUUGGGCGUAAAGCGCGCGUAGGCGGCCCGGUAAGUCCGUUGUGAAAGUCAAAGGCUCAACCUUUGAACGCCGAUGGAUACUGCCGGGCUAGAGUCCGGAAGAGGCGAGUGGAAUUCCUGGUGUAGCGGUGAAAUGCGUAGAUAUCAGGAGGAACACCGAUGGCGAAGGCAGGUCUCUGGGCCACUACUGACGCUGAGAAGCGAAAGCAUGGGGAGCGAACAGG